Molecule: ribosomal RNA, 526 nt
Filed under: uncultured bacterium
Lineage: Bacteria
Description: bacterial SSU rRNA
Rfam family: Bacterial small subunit ribosomal RNA
Source: RNAcentral
AUGGACGAAAGUCUGUCGGAGCAACGCCGCGUGAGUGAUGAAGGUUUUCGGAUCGUAAAACUCUGUUGUUAGGGAAGAACAAGUACCGUUCGAAUAGGGCGGUACCUUGACGGUACCUAACCAGAAAGCCACGGCUAACUACGUGCCAGCAGCCGCGGUAAUACGUAGGUGGCAAGCGUUGUCCGGAAUCAUUGGGCGUAAAGCGCGCGCAGGUGGUUCCUUAAGUCUGAUGUGAAAGCCCCCGGCUCAACCGGGGAGGGUCAUUGGAAACUGGGGAACUUGAGUGCAGAAGAGGAAAGUGGAAUUCCACGUGUAGCGGUGAAAUGCGUAGAGAUGUGGAGGAACACCAGUGGCGAAGGCGACUUUCUGGUCUGUAACUGACACUGAGGCGCGAAAGCGUGGGGAGCGAACAGGAUUAGAUACCCUGGUAGUCCACGCCGUAAACGAUGAGUGCUAAGUGUUAGGGGGUUUCCGCCCCUUAGUGCUGCAGCAAACGCAUUAAGCACUCCGCCUGGGGAGUACGGUC